Long non-coding RNA from Myotis brandtii (Brandt's bat), 346 nucleotides. RefSeq lists it as uncharacterized. Lineage: Eukaryota; Metazoa; Chordata; Mammalia; Chiroptera; Vespertilionidae. The transcript has 3 exons. The record is from RefSeq and is a predicted model, not a curated record.
UCACAGGCUGAGGAAGAUCUUUCUGUGCCGUCUGGGGGAGAGAAGAUGUGGUUAAAGUCAAGCUGUUCACUCCAGCGAGUCUAAAUUCUUACUUGGUUUUGCUCCAGCAGUGUGCUGGAACUUCUCCUCUAGAAACCUGGACUCACAAAGGCUCUCUCAUCCUGUCUCCUGUUGGUGGAAACUACCAGGCACCCAGCUGUGAAAAGAGAAAUUUUGUUUCCAGAGUCUAAUCUCAGCAUCAGAGAACAAAUUACAGGAGGUAUGGAUAUGGAGCUGAAAGACGACAGGUGCGCUUGGAUCGGACUGGAAUACGUAUGAAGGAUGCCCCUCCCCGCCACCAGCUCCC